Molecule: ribosomal RNA, 503 nt
Filed under: uncultured bacterium
Lineage: Bacteria
Description: partial 16S ribosomal RNA
Rfam family: Bacterial small subunit ribosomal RNA
Source: RNAcentral
GAUGAACGCUAGCGACAGGCUUAACACAUGCAAGUCGAGGGGCAGCAUAGAAGUAGCAAUACUUUGGUGGCGACCGGCGCACGGGUGAGUAACGCGUAUGCAACCUACCUAUCAGAGGGGAAUAACCCGGCGAAAGUCGGACUAAUACCGCAUAAAACAGGGGCAACGCAUGGUGAUAUUUGUUAAAGAAAUUCGCUGAUAGAUGGGCAUGCGUUCCAUUAGAUAGUUGGUGAGGUAACGGCUCACCAAGCCGACGAUGGAUAGGGGAACUGAGAGGUUGGUCCCCCACACUGGUACUGAGACACGGACCAGACUCCUACGGGAGGCAGCAGUGAGGAAUAUUGGUCAAUGGGCGAGAGCCUGAACCAGCCAAGUCGCGUGAAGGAAGAAGGAUCUAUGGUUCGUAAACUUCCUUUGCAGGGGAAUAAAGUGCAGGACGUGUCCUGUUUUGUAUGUACCCUGAGAAUAAGGAUCGGCUAACUCCGUGCCAGCAGCCGCGGUAA